AAGUGUUACAGCUCUUUUACUAUUUGUCUAGAAGGUUUUUACAGUGUAGGAGCCCCA
Small nuclear RNA from Xenopus tropicalis (tropical clawed frog), 57 nucleotides. Its record names the gene U7. It matches the Rfam family "U7 small nuclear RNA". From Rfam's summary of the family: Animal histone pre-mRNAs are spliced by a different mechanism than nuclear pre-mRNAs and self-splicing introns. This processing involves the U7 snRNP, which contains only one RNA species: U7. The 5' end of U7 RNA is thought to base-pair to a conserved spacer element downstream of the cleavage site in histone pre-mRNA. Lineage: Eukaryota; Metazoa; Chordata; Amphibia; Anura; Pipidae. The record is from Ensembl.